CUGAAGGUAACCUGAGCCUACAGGACACCAGAUCACCAAGGGGGCCUGCGCCUCCUUCUCUAUAUCGGCAGGUACAAUGGAACCUGCUGCAAGUGCUAUUCACCGUAGGAUGUUCUGCAUCGCCCAAGGGUGCAAACUAGAGAGGAUCCUGACUGGCUGGCACCACAAUGCUCCACAGCAGGUCUGCUUAAUGCAUCCUCAGGACAAUGCUGCCAUCCAUGGACAGCCUUUACACCCAGCCUUGGAGGAGAAAGGCCACGAGGAUCAUUAAAGAGCCCAGCCACAAAUAAUUUGGCCUAUCUGGCUGUCAGCGCUCUAAAAAUAGGCCCUGCACCAACAGACUCAGUGUGUUUAGCUACAUUUGCAUAUAGUUCUAAUUGUAUAUUUCUUCAGCGAAUAAUUUUAAUUUACGGUAAUAGAAGUGUUUUAUUUUAUUUUUUUACUGUAGUUUACUACCUAAUUUAUCAACGGUUUUCCUUGUUUAGAUGAGUCUUAUUAGGACAAGCUUAUCUCUUAGGCAUUUCAUACAAGUGACGCAUCAAUCUUCAGCCUUUUCAGAGUGCAAAACAAGUAGAAAACAACACAGUAGAAAAUGAAAAUAAAUCACCUUUACAUGUUUAUCCCACAUGAAUACACCAGUGCAACAGUCAGGGAACUUUUUUGAAUUAGCAUCCAGCCAAAGUUUAUCUGUUGUUAGCAUUGAUUAGCAUGUCAAAGCUGCGCUGAUGGUUGCAUUAAAGAUCCCGUCUGCCUCUGCACGAGUCGUCUCCUCUCACGUUGCUGUUAACCAAGUCAAUCAACUUGUCCCUGAAGUGAAAGCUGUCAUGUCCCACAUGCGUUCCUGCAUAGAUAAAGAAAAUUCGCCAACUGAGAGAGGAAUAGCAAACAGGAGCUAUGUGAAGUAUGACGUCGUAAUUUAAAAAGAAUCAUGUCAUCAAAUGUCACUAAGAGCCAAAAGCUGUUUUUGUUACGACUGAGAAUUUUACAUGUCAUAAUAUCAGUAUUGGAAUCAUCUACUAACAUCCUCAUGCCGACGAUAAAAAAGGAGGAAGAGUUGAACAGAUUUGUGCAGCAGAGUGGAAGGAGUGGCCCUAUGGUUUGGCCUCAUGGAAAC
Molecule: long non-coding RNA, 1114 nt
Filed under: Takifugu rubripes (torafugu)
Lineage: Eukaryota; Metazoa; Chordata; Actinopteri; Tetraodontiformes; Tetraodontidae
Description: lncRNA (ENSTRUG00000027084.1)
Source: RNAcentral